UAUCAGUCCCACAUUGAAAGUUAAAGAAGUUAGUUCUCUGUUUAUAAUGCAGAGACUGCAGUAUUAGAUUGUCUCUUCGGAGACAUCUGAUAAAAUUGGAACGAUACAGAGAAGAUUAGCAUGGCCCCUGCGCAAGGAUGACACGCACAAAUCGAGAAAUGGUCCAAAUUUUUUUGGCAAAUCUUGCUCCAUAUAUCCAACCUUAAGAGUAAGUCUGUCACUCUAAUCAAGUUAUCUGUUUCAAAUCUGAUACCAAAAAUGUUGACCCACAGUGAUAUCUAAAUUAUAUCGCAACGGGGAAGGGUCAAUUACAGUGGUUAUCUUCCCCCUCAUUCAUGAACAAGACAACAUCACAUUAGUUUAUAUUUUUUAUGAAGUUAAUGAACUGGAUUUCUGGACAUGUUGAUCGAAAAUUGAACAAGAUGGUAUUCAUUAAUUAAGCUAAAAUUGCAGAAAGAUGGUAAAUAUCAAGUAUUUGAGUGACUUGACAUCUCCCAAGCUAAACACUAAAAUGAACUCUCAAAUAUUUUCUUCAUAGUUCGAUUUUAGUCUCACUCUUAUCUAUUUAAAGUCUUCAUGAUUCUCUUUCCGCUCGAACUUAUCUGCCUUUUCACUGAUUUAUUGUGCAGUUCCUAUCACACACUCCUACUAGCUGGUUCAUUACAUAAAACUAGUACUAGAUAGCCUUGGUGAGUUUAUUUUUUUUUUGACACGUUACUGAAUUUUUUUUUCUCUCACCCAUAAAUAGUCUAAGUUUAAACUUUUUUUCUAGAGAAAUAUAGAUAAUUCAAAAUCUUCUGCACAUAUAGAAGCUUAUAAUUUUAUUGGUGGAAGCUCCUUUAAGGAUCUCAAAAAAGAGCUUCCUCCAAAGAUAAAGAAAGGUGAUAUUUAGACAAUUCAGACACUUGAAAAAAUAAGAAUUGCUUUACCCCAAUUUAUGGACUCACUUGUUGGGGUUCUUCAAGAGCUAUCUUAAUUGAAGGCUUUCCUCAAUUUCAAAAAAUUAUCCGAGUAGCUAGUGUAGUUAGCACUAGAAAAGGACUUUAAUGUUUUUCUAAUUAGGUGCUUAUGUUGUGCUUUGUUGGGAAAAAAAUGGUUUUCCACUUUCACCUAGUUGUUUGUGAAGGGGGGACGAAAACAGGUUUCAAAUGACAAAAUAUAGAUUUCCAAAUAUGGAAAAUAUUUUCCCUUAUUUAACAAAGAAAACCUUGUUUACCUCGUAAUUCCAUCAAUGUAAAAGGAUUUUACAUGAAUAAUUAAGCAAGAAAUAAUUUUAAAUUAGUUUUCUUUGCGAGGUAGAUGCAUAUGAAUGAGUAUAUGAUUUUUGGCAAUCCUUCUUUUAAAAUGAAAAAUUAUAAUCUGUUAUGGUACUAUCAUAACAAUCUGCUGCUGAAAUCUUAUUCUGAGAUUAAUGGAAGCUCCUAGUAGGAACCUCUCCAAAAAUAGACGUAUGCCACUUAAUGCAGCGAGCACACGGUAUUCUUUAGUAAAAGGCGAAAGAAUAGUUCGCUCUGUGCUCAAUGCAUGGCUGCGUGAGGAUUACAAUGUAAGGCAGAGUAAUUUAUUACUGCAGUUCUAGCUUGGUCUUUAUACCUGACGGGUGUGGGAUUACUUAGUACGGCUAUGAUGAAAUUAUUUAUCCAGCAUAAGACUAGAAAUGCGUGUUGUUUCUGUUGCCUUGAUGAAUAAAUUCUCUGCUGGAAGUAUAUGGCUUAUAUGGUUACUUAUACCUGCCUGGGCUUAUCUAUGAUCAUAAUGAAUCUUGCAAAUAGAAUACAGGUCCUGGAAGAUCCAGUUUACCCACUAAUGUUAUCUUUAGAUUAAAUCAUGUCUGCUGGACAGAAAUGGUGCCAAUCUCUUUUCAAAUGGUGCCAUUUUACUUACAAGCUGGUAUCAAUCACGCAGCUGAUGAGAUUGCGCAUGUUUGACGCCAAUAACAACUAGUAGCUGAUAUGCUUUCACAUAUGAAUUGUGUGUGUCUGACAUUUUAUUUGGAACUGAUAUAAUUUUGUUCGGUUGAUGAUCUCAGAUCAUUCCUUUCAUUCAGGCAGUGUUCUAACCUCAAGUAGUAGGAAUACUUCGUUUGAGGAUAUUCUAAUCAGAGCAAAAGUGUGAAAAUAACUGAAGCAGUGCAAUUCAGGAAUUUGGAGAAUAUCCUAAAUCUUGUAGCUUCAAACGUUCAUGAAAGGCUUUCUGAGUGAAAGGCUGAGGUAACUGAAUUCGGAAGAGCAGAAGAAUAUGUUGUUUAACCUAAACCAGCAAAUCUGCAAUGCUGAAAACAUCAGCUCAGGCAAAUAUUCUCCUUGUACAAGCUAACAUCUAUUACAAAACUUAGUACAAAAGCUUGUCUUUAAACCAAAGAAUGAAUUCCACAUAAAAGAACUUCCUAAUGAAGGUACUUAAUUGUUGGGUAUGUGGAGUGGGACGUUGUAGGGAGGUUAGUGACGAUGUGAUAUUUUUGAGCUACCAUCGCUCGUGACUUGAGCCAACAACAUUCCAGCCUUUCAUUUUCUCUUGAGAAAAUGUAUUUUUUUUUACUAAACACUGUUUCUUUGAUGUAUUAAAUUAAGAAAUGCAGGAUGAAAUUAAGAAAUGUAGGAUGAAAUUAAAAGUGUGAUUUUUAGAGAAUUUGUCUAUUCAAGCCAUGAGCCUCUUCUUAAGAAUGAGUUUGAGUUACUAGAUUACCCCUAUUUAAAUGUUUGGAGAUAGAAUUGGUUAGGGGUUGCGCGAACGCAGACCCCCACUAUCACAAAUUAUGACGUACACUCUUCCUCUUUGGGAAGAUGUUAGGCAAGCAUCCCUCCAAAAGUGCAAUGGAGGCUACAUGCCUAGGCCAUGAGCCUUUUUGAUCGCCCAUUGACCCCGCCCAGGUAAGUAAGUUUGGCAAUAUACCAUGCCUUCUAUUUAUAUCAAUGUUGUUAUUCCCAUUACUGUUUGUCAUUGAUGUGGGAUGGGAACGUGGAAUGUAGAGGUCAAACCAUAAGUAUCAAAGUCUCCCAUGGUGCCAAUGAAGUUGCUUGCAUCUACACUUCUCCCCGUGUGAUAUAGAUUCAUAGAUUUUCAUAUUGUGAGCAGAAGCAUAUCCUAACUUGUCAUAUUGUGCUGUCUUGCUCUCUUUCAGGCCUUCUAGAUUCGUCUUGUAUUUCUCUGCUGAAAAUGAAACAAGCUCUCUAUUUCCCCCCCACAUGAAUACUAAAACUAUGAAACCCACACUUAAGACUGGAAUGACCACAAAAAUAGAGGUAUGAAGAUUACAAAGCAUACUUGUACUUCAUUUUGCUCUUGUUGCCAAAUAUCGGGGAUUGGAGCUUGUAGCUUGUAACUCCAGUGUUGGAGGCUUGGAGCUUAUAAUACAAUCUUUUAGGGGCUAUGCAGUUGAAACUUACCCCGCCGCUUUUGAAUUUUGAUGCCACAGAUGUGGAGUUGCAUAGUUAUUAAGUCACCCAUAACAGGUUAGUGUGGAGUUGUAAUCAAAGCUUGAGAUUUGAGAUAUUAGGCUUCUUUCCAGUGUUUGUUUUGUUUGCAAAGUUGGCUGCCGGCAGGUGAAUAAAGCCCAUGUUCAUGCUAUAUCAUGCUGGAAGAGGACCAGUUUAGGUCUUAUGUUUACAGUCUGAGGUCCGAAACCUAUCAUCCCACAUUGGAAGUAUAAGAAGUUAGUUCUUUGUUUAUAUUACAGAGGCUGCAGCAUAAGACUGUCUCUUCGGAGACAUCUGAUAAAAUUGGAACGAUACAGAGAAGAUUAGCAUGGCCCCUGCGCAAGGAUGACACGCACAAAUCGAGAAAUGGUCCAAAUUUUU
Molecule: long non-coding RNA, 3797 nt
Organism: Beta vulgaris subsp. vulgaris (sugar beet)
Lineage: Eukaryota; Viridiplantae; Streptophyta; Magnoliopsida; Caryophyllales; Amaranthaceae
Exons: 2
Source: RefSeq, a predicted model, not a curated record